This 433-nucleotide ribosomal RNA is filed under the name uncultured bacterium. RNAcentral's name for it is "partial 16S ribosomal RNA". It matches the Rfam family "Bacterial small subunit ribosomal RNA", at positions 30 to 507 of the family's 1533-position model. The record is from RNAcentral.
AUCGAACGCUGGCGGCAUGCCUAACACAUGCAAGUCGAACGAGACCUUCGGGUCUAGUGGCGCACGGGUGCGUAACGCGUGGGAACCUGCCCUUAGGUUCGGAAUAACUCCCCGAAAGGGGUGCUAAUACCGGAUAAUGUCUUCGGACCAAAGAUUUAUCGCCUUUGGAUGGGCCCGCGUUGGAUUAGCUAGUUGGUAGGGUAAAAGCCUACCAAGGCGACGAUCCAUAGCUGGUCUGAGAGGAUGAUCAGCCACACUGGGACUGAGACACGGCCCAGACUCCUACGGGAGGCAGCAGUGGGGAAUAUUGGACAAUGGGCGAAAGCCUGAUCCAGCAAUGCCGCGUGAGUGAUGAAGGCCUUAGGGUUGUAAAGCUCUUUUACCCGGGAUGAUAAUGACAGUACCGGGAGAAUAAGCUCCGGCUAACUCCGUG